CGGGACGUGGCGCAGUCCGGUAGCGCACCGCAAUGGGGUUGCGGGGGUCCCCGGUUCGAAUCCGGGCGUCCCGA
Molecule: transfer RNA, 74 nt
Filed under: Gemmatimonadota bacterium
Lineage: Bacteria; Pseudomonadati; Gemmatimonadota
Also listed under: 2 other names
Description: Gemmatimonadetes bacterium (beach sand metagenome) tRNA-Pro
Rfam family: tRNA
About the family: Transfer RNA (tRNA) molecules are approximately 80 nucleotides in length. Their secondary structure includes four short double-helical elements and three loops (D, anti-codon, and T loops).
Source: RNAcentral